CCCCUCUCAGAGUCGUGCCUGGAGAGUUUCCAGUACUCUACCAGUCUCAGCUAUGGGAGAGAGUAUCAAGCAGAGGCCUAUCCAUUUCAUUCCUAGCUUCGCCAGUGGCUAGCGAGUGGAAGGCAAUCUGCUACAAGU
Small nucleolar RNA from Ornithorhynchus anatinus (platypus), 138 nucleotides. The record is from RefSeq and is a predicted model, not a curated record. NCBI's taxonomy places the organism in Eukaryota, Metazoa, Chordata, Mammalia, Monotremata, Ornithorhynchidae.